CUCCUCCUGUGACGCAUCAGUCUCAGCCAUAUGGUUCACCUGCAUAUCCCACUGGAAGUCUAAAUGACAGAAUGGCAUCUGAUGUUGAAACGCUGAGGUUGCAUUUCUUCUCUAGUACUCCAUAUUCAACUCCUUGAGCUUUUCUUGCCUGAGCUAUCUGUUCUAUUGCUCCAUUUAAUGGUUAUAACUUGUUAUCUCUUUUCUGCUCCAGUUCAGGGGAUCUGGAUAAUAUUAGAGAUGCAACAGAAUUACUGAGUGAUAUGGUGAAUGCUUUGAAUCCUGCUGAUCGCAUGGUAAACCGAAUAUUUAAAAGAAAAUUGCAUGGCUAGUUUGGUGAAUUGCAUGAAAUAACCUAUUCAAUUAUUGGUGAUGCCAGGCUGUUAAAGAUGAAAUUGUUACUGAGCUUGUCAGCCAAAGUCGUUCAAAUCAACAAAAGCUCAUGGGAUUUGUCAGUUCAACAGGGUAAGCUCAUGUCUCCCACAGACGUACAAAGAAUAUUUCCCCUAUCUUAGUGUACCGUGGUGUUCGCCUCAAGUGAAUUUGAAGUUUCGCAUAAGAACUAGCAUGCACAUGCAUUAGCGUGGCACACAUUUUCUUUUCCAGUUCUGUGCCGUCUAAAUGACAGUGCAGUUCAGGCCACACUGCCACAGAAUGUAAUGUGUGACUUCUUAUGGUUCCUGUUGUUUAGGAAUGAGGAGCUACUGAAACAAGGCCUAGAAAUAAAUGACCGCUUACAAAGUGUACUUGCAAAACACGAUGCCAUCGCUUCUGGUUCUCCUUUACCUGUUGAAAUGCCAAGGAGAGAUGAGAUACCCAGAGAGGAUCCAACACCACAGCCAUCUGCACCUCCGGUUGCACAAAAUGAGACCCCCGUUGAAGAGGAUGAAGAGGAUGAGUUUGCUCAGCUAGCAAAAAGGUAACUGAAAAUAGCUUUUGAUGUGCAAUCUGCUUAUUCCUGAACCACAACUAAUUAUUUGUGAUAUGUUCUGUAUCUGUAGAAAGAACAAAUCUGUGGUAAGCAGCGAUGAGGCAUCAUCAAGUGUUGGUGAUCAUGCCCUUAUACCUAUUGACGAUGCAACUUCUGAAGCAUCAUCUUCUGUUGCGAGCAAUGCCCUAGUUCCUGUUGAGUCAGCUUCUGUCAGUGGUACUCGGACAAAAGAGCAGGAUAUGAUCGACCUUCUAAGCCUUACCUUGUACAGUCCUCCUGAAGCAUCUACAGAUUCUUCAACUCAGAGCCAAAAUGACAGUCAGCAGACCGCCGUGUCAAAUGGGUCACAAUUACCGCCGAACUAUGAGCCUGCAACAUCGAAUGGACAACAUUACCCUUCCAACCACCAGGCAUAUCCAAUAAAUCAGGGGUACACUCCAUACAACAAUUAUGUUGCGCCCUGGGCCCAAAGUGAACAGAGUGCACAGACUGGAGCAUAUCCAGUUCAGCCUCCACAAUAUACAUCAACCUAUCCGGCACAGCCACAAUAUACAUCAACCUAUCCGGCACCGCCAUGGGCCAUGCCUACAAGUGCCAACUCUGUAAAUCCUUUUCAGCCUGCCACAUACCAAACGCCGAAUC
RNAcentral lists this long non-coding RNA (1570 nucleotides) under Triticum aestivum (bread wheat). Its description in RNAcentral is "long non-coding RNA (TAES_LNC024508)". Lineage: Eukaryota; Viridiplantae; Streptophyta; Magnoliopsida; Poales; Poaceae. The record is from RNAcentral.